GUAAUAUAUACUUGAUAAAUUUUUGAUACAUACUUCAAGCUUCUUUGAUACAUGCCUAAUAGUGAUCCAUUAUAUGUUUCUAGAUAAAAUAAUAAAUAGUUUCUAGAACAUCAUAUUCAUUAAUAUAGAGUCCAUGACCAUGUGACAUACACUUAGGAUGGAUGCCUUCACAAGGAAGAAGAUUUGAAGGAGGAGAAAAGGACUCGGAGGGG
Molecule: long non-coding RNA, 212 nt
Filed under: Elaeis guineensis (African oil palm)
Lineage: Eukaryota; Viridiplantae; Streptophyta; Magnoliopsida; Arecales; Arecaceae
Description: long non-coding RNA (EGUI_LNC008988)
Source: RNAcentral